GUUUGAUAAGUUUGAAAACUUAGGAUGGCACCAGAAGAUUAUGGAAAGCCUUGAAUGCCAGAAAAAGGAGUCUGAAUUUAGCAAUAAGGUUGACCUAAUAUGACAAUGAGGGCUGUGGAUAUUCAAGUGAUUCAAUAUUCAAUUACUUAAAUGAAUCAUCAAUUUCAUCAAUCCAUAAAUACCCUUUAAUAAUACAAAUUACCAUACAUUUGCACCUGUCAGUCUGUGGGAUCCUUGUCUAGGAGCUCCCAAGAAUUCACCAUAUUCUUUGUUUCAUGAGCUGCCAUAGCUUUUUAAAAAAAAAUAAUCAGCAGAAGGUGGCCCACCUCCUGGUUAUGUUCCUCUAAAUAGACCCAGUCAGUUGCCAGAGCUACUCUUUUAACCCUACCAUUAUGACAGACCACUCCAGAGCUUGUGUUCUUCAAGCAUAGCUUUGUUCAGGAGCCCAGAAUCAACUUUACAGCACAAUGAGGCAACAAAGAAGGAAAGAGACACAACUGUGAAGAAAAAGCACAACUAACUAGAUUUAUUAAGAAAAUGCUUUAGACAAAAAUUAUUUUAAAAAGAACUAUAAGAAACAGAAAACAUUCAAUUAACCCUUUAUGCUCUGCUGAAGAGUAAAAAAGACCUCAUCAUAGGACAUUCACUUUGGACCUGCACAACAUGUUCAAGUAACUAGUCCAGCUCUUCAGGCCCAGUGAUAAAGGCUUUCUCCAAUCCUCAGGGGCAGGAUCCUUCUAUCAGUGUUGUUCUCUCCUUGAGAGGCUUUUCACAUCUGUUCAGGAACUGUCAUGACAGAUAUUUAUGGAAUUCAGUAAGACAGAAAUCCCAGCCUAGAAGACGUCUUUUUUCUUCCUUAGAUGCUAUCAAAUGAUCUACUGAAGUAACCUAAGACCUCAGGACCUCAUUCCUGCUGAACUUUCUUUGUAUGUUGUCUCUCCAAACAGAUUGUGAGCUCAUUAAAAAAAAAAAAGGCUGGCUUGAUUUUUCUAUUUGUAUCUGAAGGAGUUUGGAAAGUGCUUGGCAAAUAGUAAGAAAGAAAAUGGCUUUUCAUUUAUUCACUCAAAAAAAUCUCUGUUAUUCAUCAGAGCAUAAUUAAAGUCAGCUCAUCUUCACCUGGAAACAAAAUAUCAUAAAAAGGACAAAUGGCAAAUAAAGUUUUAAAAGGGUUAUUUAGUCUAUGAUACCAUUAAGGUUUUGGGGCUUUUUUGGCAAAUACACUUAAAUGAUUUGCUAUUUCCUUCUCUAGUUUAUUUUACAGAUGAGGAAACUGAAAUAAAUAGCACCUGAGGCCCUAAUUUUCAAAGCAAACAACAUCACCUGUGUCCCCCAACAUUAGAAACUUGAGACAAUAUCCCCAAUGCCCUGGGAGUUCUGUUCCCAGAACUCUGUUUCCCAGAAAUGGCUUUAAAAGCCAUUAAAUAAGCAAAAAAGAAAAAAAAAGACCCUUGAUCAUAAAAAGCUAAUAUGAUGACGGAAAAGAUCAAAACAUCAACUCA
Molecule: long non-coding RNA, 1499 nt
Filed under: Sarcophilus harrisii (Tasmanian devil)
Lineage: Eukaryota; Metazoa; Chordata; Mammalia; Dasyuromorphia; Dasyuridae
Description: lncRNA (ENSSHAG00000030891.1)
Source: RNAcentral